RNAcentral lists this ribosomal RNA (432 nucleotides) under uncultured bacterium. RNAcentral describes it as "bacterial SSU rRNA". It matches the Rfam family "Bacterial small subunit ribosomal RNA", at positions 79 to 507 of the family's 1533-position model. The record is from RNAcentral.
UUCGGUAUGGUGGCGAGUGGCGAACGGGUGAGUAAUAUAUCGGAACGUGCCCAGUCGUGGGGGAUAACGUAGUGAAAAUUACGCUAAUACCGCAUACGAUCUACGGAUGAAAGCGGGGGAUCGCAAGACCUCGCGCGAUUGGAGCGGCCGAUAUCAGAUUAGGUAGUUGGUGGGGUAAAGGCUCACCAAGCCAACGAUCUGUAGCUGGUCUGAGAGGACGACCAGCCACACUGGAACUGAGACACGGUCCAGACUCCUACGGGAGGCAGCAGUGGGGAAUUUUGGACAAUGGACGCAAGUCUGAUCCAGCCAUUCCGCGUGCAGGAUGAAGGCCCUCGGGUUGUAAACUGCUUUUGUACAGAACGAAAAGGCUCUUCCUAAUACGAGGGGCUCAUGACGGUACUGUAAGAAUAAGCACCGGCUAACUACGUG